UUUUAAAUGCAAGUCGAACGGUAACAGGAAGCAGCUUGCUGCUUUGCUGACGAGUGGCGGACGGGUGAGUAAUGUCUGGGAAACUGCCUGAUGGAGGGGGAUAACUACUGGAAACGGUGGCUAAUACCGCAUAACGUCGCAAGACCAAAGAGGGGGACCUUCGGGCCUCUUGCCAUCAGAUGUGCCCAGAUGGGAUUAGCUUGUUGGUGAGGUAACGGCUCACCAAGGCGACGAUCCCUAGCUGGUCUGAGAGGAUGACCAGCCACACUGGAACUGAGACACGGUCCAGACUCCUACGGGAGGCAGCAGUGGGGAAUAUUGCACAAUGGGCGCAAGCCUGAUGCAGCCAUGCCRCGUGUAUGAAGAAGGCCUUCGGGUUGUAAAGUACUUUCAGCGGGGAGGAAGGUGUUGUGGUUAAUAACCGCAGCAAUUGACGUUACCCGCAGAAGAAGCACCGGCUAACUCCGUGCCAGCAGCCGCGGUAAUACGGAGGGUGCAAGCGUUAAUCGGAAUUACUGGGCGUAAAGCGCACGCAGGCGGUCUGUCAAGUCGGAUGUGAAAUCCCCGGGCUCAACCUGGGAACUGCAUUCGAAACUGGCAGGCUUGAGUCUUGUAGAGGGGGGUAGAAUUCCAGGUGUAGCGGUGAAAUGCGUAGAGAUCUGGAGGAAUACCGGUGGCGAAGGCGGCCCCCUGGACAAAGACUGACGCUCAGGUGCGAAAGCGUGGGGAGCAAACAGGAUUAGAUACCCUGGUAGUCCACGCCGUAAACGAUGUCUACUUGGAGGUUGUGCCCUUGAGGCGUGGCUUCCGGAGCUAACGCGUUAAGUAGACCGCCUGGGGAGUACGGCCGCAAGGUUAAAACUCAAAUGAAUUGACGGGGGCCCGCACAAGCGGUGGAGCAUGUGGUUUAAUUCGAUGCAACGCGAAGAACCUUACCUGGUCUUGACAUCCACAGAACUUUCCAGAGAUGGAUUGGUGCCUUCGGGAACUGUGAGACAGGUGCUGCAUGGCUGUCGUCAGCUCGUGUUGUGAAAUGUUGGGUUAAGUCCCGCAACGAGCGCAACCCUUAUCCUUUGUUGCCAGCGGUCCGGCCGGGAACUCAAAGGAGACUGCCAGUGAUAAACUGGAGGAAGGUGGGGAUGACGUCAAGUCAUCAUGGCCCUUACGACCAGGGCUACACACGUGCUACAAUGGCGCAUACAAAGAGAAGCGACCUCGCGAGAGYAAGCGGACCUCAUAAAGUGCGUCGUAGUCCGGAUUGGAGUCUGCAACUCGACUCCAUGAAGUCGGAAUCGCUAGUAAUCGUGGAUCAGAAUGCCACGGUGAAUACGUUCCCGGGCCUUGUACACACCGCCCGUCACACCAUGGGAGUGGGUUGCAAAAGAAGUAGGUAGCUUAACCUUCGGG
RNAcentral lists this ribosomal RNA (1407 nucleotides) under Salmonella enterica subsp. enterica serovar Typhi. Its description in RNAcentral is "bacterial SSU rRNA". The record is from RNAcentral. Lineage: Bacteria; Pseudomonadati; Pseudomonadota; Gammaproteobacteria; Enterobacterales; Enterobacteriaceae.